RNAcentral lists this ribosomal RNA (497 nucleotides) under uncultured bacterium. RNAcentral's name for it is "partial 16S ribosomal RNA". It matches the Rfam family "Bacterial small subunit ribosomal RNA", at positions 28 to 507 of the family's 1533-position model. The record is from RNAcentral.
GAUGAACGCUGGCGGCGUGCCUAAUACAUGCAAGUCGAGCGAACAGACGAGGGGCUUGCUCCUCUGACGUUAGCGGCGGACGGGUGAGUAACACGUGGAUAACCUACCUAUAAGACUGGGAUAACUUCGGGAAACCGGAGCUAAUACCGGAUAAUAUAUUGAACCGCAUGGUUCAAUAGUGAAAGCGGGUUUUGCUGUCACUUAAAGAUGGAUCCGCGCCGCAUUAGCUAGUUGGUAAGGUAACGGCUUACCAAGGCAACGAUGCGUAGCCGACCUGAGAGGGUGAUCGGCCACACUGGAACUGAGACACGGUCCAGACUCCUACGGGAGGCAGCAGUAGGGAAUCUUCCGCAAUGGGCGAAAGCCUGACGGAGCAACGCCGCGUGAGUGAUGAAGGUCUUCGGAUCGUAAAACUCUGUUAUUAGGGAAGAACAAAUGUGUAAGUAACUAUGCACGUCUUGACGGUACCUAAUCAGAAAGCCACGGCUAACUACGUG